UACUAUAUCAAAUCAUUGUAUAGU
This 24-nucleotide non-coding RNA is filed under the name Arabidopsis thaliana (thale cress). Lineage: Eukaryota; Viridiplantae; Streptophyta; Magnoliopsida; Brassicales; Brassicaceae. The record is from RNAcentral.